CAGCCGCCACGGGAAUACGUAGGGUGCGAGCGUUAAUCGGAAUUACUGGGCGUAAAGCGUGCGCAGGCGGUUAUAUAAGACAGAUGUGAAAUCCCCGGGCUCAACCUGGGACCUGCAUUUGUGACUGUAUAGCUAGAGUACGGUAGAGGGGGAUGGAAUUCCGCGUGUAGCAGUGAAAUGCGUAGAUAUGCGGAGGAACACCGAUGGCGAAGGCAAUCCCCUGGACCUGUACUGACGCUCAUGCACGAAAGCGUGGGGAGCAAACAGGAUUAGAUACCCGCGUAGUUCCUGUCUCUUAUAC
Molecule: ribosomal RNA, 301 nt
Filed under: uncultured bacterium
Lineage: Bacteria
Description: partial 16S ribosomal RNA
Rfam family: Bacterial small subunit ribosomal RNA
Source: RNAcentral